Molecule: long non-coding RNA, 807 nt
Filed under: Homo sapiens (human)
Lineage: Eukaryota; Metazoa; Chordata; Mammalia; Primates; Hominidae
Description: long intergenic non-protein coding RNA 347
Source: RNAcentral
GGCUGUGUGGCUGCUUGAUUUUCAUUGUCUAGUGGCAGCCAAAAUUGGAAAAGAGAGAAGUGCAGACUUUAAAGACAAGCAGCGACAGCUCAUCAGCAGUCUAACAACACGACAGAUGACAGGCCCAGAGGCACACCCAGGGCCGCCAGCCCAUCACCCUGUGCAGGAUGUCAAAGAGCAGCUGCAGCAAAGGAAGAAGAUCAUCCAGACUUAAAUGUUUGGGCCUUGCUAAGACCAUAGAGUCUUUGUGCUUUGGAAACAGUCCUCCAUACAAAGACCCCUUCCUAGAAAAGAGUGGAAAGAAACCAAGGCACAGGAAGAAAGCAUUGAGGUCACAGGGCAGCUCAGGUCCGCCUGUGGUAAUUGAAAACAGGUGACGAGAUUGGGUUGAUUUUAUUUUGGAAAAGUAAAUUAGUGCUGCACCACUCGGACAUGGCUAAUUCAUGAAGCCUCUGGUUUGUAUUAGACACCCAACAUGCCUUUCAGAAAGAAAUGACACAACAAUUAAUGUGUCAAAUAAUAAUGUGCCACUCGGAGAAAGAUAAUUGUACCCAUCGUCAGGUAGUUAUUAGGUCGAACGAAUGCUCAUCCUUUCAAAGGCAACAGCGUCUAUUCAUUCUGGCAUCCUACUGUAAGUACAGUAUUGUGUUCAUAAUCACACAGACUGAAGCCAGGAACACUGGGUUUUAUCUGAUUUUUCUCCAUUUGGAAUUGUACUCCGAUGAUUCCCUAAACAGCAAACUCAGUCAUGUGAAACACAAAUGAGUGUGAUGAAAGACAGAUUGUUAUACUGCAGGAGAGGCUUUC